GAUGAACGCUGGCGGCGUGCUUAACACAUGCAAGUCGAACGAUGAAGCGCAGGUCGCUGGGUGGAUUAGUGGCGAACGGGAGAGUAACUCGUGAGUAACUCGCCCUUAACACGUGGAUAAGACCGGGAAACCAGGACUAAUCUCACAUAGCAGUGCCUACAGAAAGGUGGGUGCCGGAAAGAUUGAUCGGUUUUGGAUGUACGUGCGGUCUAUCGGCUUGCUGGUGAGGUAAGGGAACACGAAGGCGACGUCGGGUAGCCGGCAUGAGGGGGUGAACGGCCACAGUGGGACUGAGAGAGGGCCCAGGCUCCUACGGGGGGCAGCGGUUGGAAUUAUUACACAGUGGGCGAAAGCCUGAUCAAGAGACGCCGCGUGAGGGAUGACGGCCUUCGGGUUGUAAAACUCUUUCAGUAAGGAGGAAGCGAAAGUGACGGUACCUACAGAAGAAGCACCGGCUAACUACGUG
This 466-nucleotide ribosomal RNA is filed under the name uncultured bacterium. RNAcentral's name for it is "partial 16S ribosomal RNA". It matches the Rfam family "Bacterial small subunit ribosomal RNA", at positions 28 to 507 of the family's 1533-position model. The record is from RNAcentral.